Molecule: ribosomal RNA, 1049 nt
Filed under: Amynthas moniliatus
Lineage: Eukaryota; Metazoa; Annelida; Clitellata; Crassiclitellata; Megascolecidae
Description: partial 12S ribosomal RNA
Source: RNAcentral
ACUCGAUAAUCCACGCAUACCAAACCUUCUCUAGACAAUUCAGCAUGUGUACUGCCGUUGUAAGCAUACCUUUAAAAGAUAAGUAUGCCACCAUGACUAAAUAAUUAGCCCAUAUACAUCAGGUCAAAGUGCAGCCAAUAAGAAGGUGAUGAUGGGUUACAACCCCAAAAAAGACUAUCAACUAAGAAAUUAAAAAUCUUACGAAAGUGGACUUGGCCGUAAUUAAUUUAUAAAUUAAAAAAAUGAAUAUUACCUAAGACAUGCACACAUCGCCCGUCACUCUACCCUAAAGGCUAGAUAAGUCGUAACAAAGUAGGUGUAAUGGAAAUUGCACCUGUCGAAGUAUAGCAUAUAUAAUGCUUUUUACUUACACUAAAAAUAAAGUUAAAUAACUUACUUCGCACACAUACAAAAAUCUUUUAACUAAUAAACUAAUAAAAACAAUUAAAUAAUAAAUUAAACAAUAGUACAGAAAUGGAAAUAAUAAUAAAUAAAAGUAACUAUUAACAAUUGUACCUUGUGCAUUAUGGUUUUACAAGAAAACAAUUAAAUACAUAAAUCCCGAAUUCUAUAUGAGAUGCCAAACUGCUGUUAAGAACCCACUAUUAGCUGUAAAAAAAGCUUUAAAAGACAGUUUGACAGAGGCUACAUACCAUUCGCAUAAGAAUAUAGCUGGUUUUCAACAAACAUUAUACAUUAAGACAUAUAAUUAUAUUAUAGUGUAAUAUUAUUGAGGAUAAGCCCAAUAACUAAAGCAAUACACAAACUAAUCCAACGCACUAUAUAGGCCUAAAAACAGCCAAACAAAAUACUUUACCGUAAAAUACACAGAUAUAAUAUAUAUUAUAAAUAUGCUAAACAAAGUUGAAAUAAUGAAUAAACUAAAUACUUCAAUUAUAAUAUGUAAAAAUAAGUAUUAAAUAAUACAUAAAAAUUAUAACCUAGAAUAAACAACAUAUAAACAAUAAUAAUUAAUUAAGGAACUCGGCAAACAAUUAUUUCGACUGUUUAACAAAAACAUUGUCUCAUGAAUAAAAUAUGAGAUAAUA